UGGCUCAGUGGUUGAGAGCACUGACUGCUCUUCCAGAGGUCCUGGGUUCAAUUCCCAG
Non-coding RNA from Rattus norvegicus (Norway rat), 58 nucleotides. NCBI's taxonomy places the organism in Eukaryota, Metazoa, Chordata, Mammalia, Rodentia, Muridae. The record is from Rfam.